RNAcentral lists this ribosomal RNA (667 nucleotides) under Micrococcaceae bacterium. RNAcentral describes it as "bacterial SSU rRNA". It matches the Rfam family "Bacterial small subunit ribosomal RNA", at positions 144 to 825 of the family's 1533-position model. Lineage: Bacteria; Bacillati; Actinomycetota; Actinomycetes; Micrococcales; Micrococcaceae. The record is from RNAcentral.
UAAGCCUGGGAAACUGGGUCUAAUACCGGAUAUGACUCCUCAUCGCAUGGUGGGGGGUGGAAAGCUUUUGUGGUUUUGGAUGGACUCGCGGCCUAUCAGCUUGUUGGUGAGGUAAUGGCUCACCAAGGCGACGACGGGUAGCCGGCCUGAGAGGGUGACCGGCCACACUGGGACUGAGACACGGCCCAGACUCCUACGGGAGGCAGCAGUGGGGAAUAUUGCACAAUGGGCGCAAGCCUGAUGCAGCGACGCCGCGUGAGGGAUGACGGCCUUCGGGUUGUAAACCUCUUUCAGUAGGGAAGAAGCGAAAGUGACGGUACCUGCAGAAGAAGCGCCGGCUAACUACGUGCCAGCAGCCGCGGUAAUACGUAGGGCGCAAGCGUUAUCCGGAAUUAUUGGGCGUAAAGAGCUCGUAGGCGGUUUGUCGCGUCUGCCGUGAAAGUCCGGGGCUCAACUCCGGAUCUGCGGUGGGUACGGGCAGACUAGAGUGAUGUAGGGGAGACUGGAAUUCCUGGUGUAGCGGUGAAAUGCGCAGAUAUCAGGAGGAACACCGAUGGCGAAGGCAGGUCUCUGGGCAUUAACUGACGCUGAGGAGCGAAAGCAUGGGGAGCGAACAGGAUUAGAUACCCUGGUAGUCCAUGCCGUAAACGUUGGGCACUAGGUGUGG